CGGGUCGUAGGUGGCGUGGAACGACGCGGUGUUCGGGUUUCCGCCCGAAGUGAUCGACGUCCCGGUGAUCUCCGCGCCGACGACCGGG
RNAcentral lists this transfer RNA (88 nucleotides) under Actinoplanes regularis. RNAcentral's name for it is "tRNA-Pro". Lineage: Bacteria; Bacillati; Actinomycetota; Actinomycetes; Micromonosporales; Micromonosporaceae. The record is from RNAcentral.